ACUUGCUUUCUUUGCUGGCGACCGGCGCACGGGUGAGUAACACGUAUCCAACCUACCCUUUACUCGGGGAUAGCCUUUCGAAAGAAAGAUUAAUACCCGAUAGCAUAAUGAUUCCGCAUGGUUUCAUUAUUAAAGGAUUCCGGUAAAGGAUGGGGAUGCGUUCCAUUAGGUUGUUGGUGGGGUAACGGCCCACCAAGCCUUCGAUGGAUAGGAGUUCUGAGAGGAAGGUCCCCCACAUUGGAACUGAGACACGGUCCAAACUCCUACGGGAGGCAGCAUG
RNAcentral lists this ribosomal RNA (280 nucleotides) under uncultured bacterium. RNAcentral's name for it is "partial 16S ribosomal RNA". It matches the Rfam family "Bacterial small subunit ribosomal RNA", at positions 74 to 353 of the family's 1533-position model. The record is from RNAcentral.